GGGCGCUCAUGAGCAAAAUUACACUAUGUAAAAAGGGAGAGUACAAUAAACCCUCUUAUAAUAAUGAGAGAACAAAAGACAAUAUUUUCUCUCACAAAUACUAUCUUAAAUGGAACAAGAAUUCUCACCAAAAUACAUUCACCUAAUAUGAAUAAGAGCUGAAUAAAAUAUCUGAAGUGCUCUCACUCUCUUAAGAGAAAAUGCCAACCAAUAAGGUGAUGUUACUGUGAUGUUGUGAGGCUGAAUUUGUAAUGCUGCAAUUGAUCUUGUGAUGCAUAAAGAUGCUCUCCAUGUGUGGCCUUUUAUAGGCAAAUUAUGUUGAAGAAGCAUUGAAGCUUGGGAAGCAAGCUUGGAGGCCUUGGUGAGCAAGUUUCCAAAGCUUAAUGAGCAAGCAUCCAAGGCUUGGGAAAGAAGCUUUAAUAAGCUAUUUAAGUUAUAAUGUGUCAAUUGCACGUCACUAAAACCAUUUUUUUAAUGUUAAGAACUCAGGUCAAUUUUUACUAGACAAACAAAAUUCACAAUUAAUUAAAAACUGAAAUAAAAUUUAAAUUAUAAUGGUAUUAACAUUAAAAGAUAAUUUAACAUAAACUGUCAAUGUUUCAUAAGUUAACUUUUUUUGAGCUAGCUAGUAAGUUAACCUUUUCAGCUGAAUAAGUUAGCUUUAAAACUAUUAUUUAUGAAAUGAUUGUAAUAUCCUACUCAUUGAGGUAUAAAUUCAAUAACUACUGGAAAUACGGCGGAAAAAAAAUCACCAGGAUUUGAAAGUCAUAUUAUGAAAUGAGUUUGACAUGAAAGAUUUUGGGGUUGCUAGAAAGAUUCUUGAGAUGAAAUUCAUAGGGACAAAUGAGCUAUAAAACUACGGUUCUCCCAUUAAAGCUAUAUUGAAAAGAUCUUAGACAUAUUUGGUAUGAACAAUGCUAAAGUAGUGAGCAUUCCAUUGGGAAAUCACUUCAAGUUUUCCCUAGAUCAAUGUCCAAAGACAAAUGAAGAGAAGAAAUAUAUGUCAAAGGUUUUAUAUGCUAAUGUAGUAGGUUGCUUGAUGUAUGUUAUGGUUUGCACUAGACCAAACUUGACACAACUAGUUAGCCAAGUGUACAAGUACAUGUCGAAACCAGGGAAUCAACAUUGGUAAGUAGUCAAAUGGAUUUUCAGAUGAUUGAAGGGGACUACAGGUCUCCGUAUCAUGUUUGGCAGCCAAAAGAGUAAACCUUCAUUUGUUGGUUAUGUUGAUUUGGAAUAUACAAGAGACUUGACUGAUAUAAGGUCCAUAACAAGGUUUGUCUUCAUCCUUGCAUACAGACUAAUAAUGUGGAGAUCAUUAGUUUAGUCUAUUGUUGAUAUGUCCACAACUAAAUCAGAGUACAUGACAGUUGGUGAAGAUUCUAAGGAAGCCAUGUGGCUUAUGGCACUCGUAAAUGAAUUAGGCAUUGAGCAAGGUGAAGUUUGCUGCAUUAUGAUAGUCAGAGUGCUAUCUUCUUGGCAAAGAACCAGGUAUACCAUGCUAGGACCGAUCAUAUUGAUGUGAGAUUUCACAAGAUCAGAGAAUUGGUAGCUUGUGGGUAGAUACUAUUGCAGAAGGUUUAUACUUCAAAAAAUACAGUUGAUAUGCUAACCAAGUUGAUUACCGUUGACAAGUUCAGACAUUGUCUGAGCUUUUUAACAUUUACUGAUGCUGGACUAUGGAGCAUCCUAAACCCAAUGACAAAAGAUGAAGAUUAAUGAUAUUCCCCAAGGUGGAGAUUCUUGUGCAAUGACUCAUAUUCCAAUUGAUAGAACCUUUUCUCCUAAUAACAACAAUAUAAGUUAUGGAUUUUGACUGAUAUAAAAAGGUUGGGGUUGAGGACGAUAUAUUUAUAUAUUAUGUAAACCUAAUGUAACAAGGAGGACAAUAGCUACAAAUAUAAAUUCUUAUUCUAUAAUACAUAGUGGUAGUCUUUCAACAUUUUGGAGGACGUAUGGAUAAUUGGUCCAAACCACAAAUAUAUUGUUAAUGGUUGUUGAAACCACAUGAGAAAAAAGUUGGGCAUCUCAAUCAGAAUAAAAUCUAAACUUAAAUUUAGUGGUGGGAAUGUUCAAACAAUUAAAGGAAAAAACAAUAUUGCCAUUAAAAUUCUAUUCGUGCUGGUCUAAGAGCAUAUUUAAUGGUGCAACUUUUUUAAAGUAGAAAAAUUAUUAAAUAAAAAUAAGAUCUUGAGAACAACACUAUCAAGUGGAUAAGAUUAACUCAAAAAAUAUAGAAGUGUUUUUUGUGGUCCUUUUAUGACUUCGAACUAAAAAAAAAUCUUGAAUGAUACAACUUUAUAUAACUCUAUCAAAAAUAAUUAUUAAAUAAAUUGAAUCAUUUAUGAAAUUUUGGGUCAAGUGAUAAAUAUAGUUCUUUCUAUCUCUCCCCACCUGUAUGCAAUUGUGGCCCCCAAUUUUCCACACAAAUAUAGCUAGAAUUGUUUUUGGAUGCUAAUCUUAUAAGUAACUUAUGUCCAACUAAGUUUACUCCACGAUAUAUUGUGUAAAGAAUCUUAAAAUUUAUUAAUUUGCCUUAGGAACAUAAUGCCGCUAUGCAGAAGCACAAAAUCAGAUCAAUUGAGAAUUAAAGAGAAGUAAGUAAAGAAAUAAGAAAAUAACAUAUAAGAUUUAACGUAGAAAAACCCCCUCAAUAUGAGAGGUAAAAAAACAUGGGCGCUCAUGAGCAAAAUUACACUAUGUAAAAAGGGAGAGUACAAUAAACCCUCUUAUAAUAAUGAGAGAACAAAAGACAAUAUUUUCUCUCACAAAUACUAUCUUAAAUGGAACAAGAAUUCUCACCAAAAUACAUUCACCUAAUAUGAAUAAGAGCUGAAUAAAAUAUCUGAAGUGCUCUCACUCUCUUAAGAGAAAAUGCCAACCAAUAAGGUGAUGUUACUGUGAUGUUG
RNAcentral lists this long non-coding RNA (2909 nucleotides) under Lupinus angustifolius (narrow-leaved blue lupine). RNAcentral describes it as "long non-coding RNA (LANG_LNC001051)". The record is from RNAcentral. Lineage: Eukaryota; Viridiplantae; Streptophyta; Magnoliopsida; Fabales; Fabaceae.